RNAcentral lists this ribosomal RNA (562 nucleotides) under uncultured bacterium. Its description in RNAcentral is "bacterial SSU rRNA". It matches the Rfam family "Bacterial small subunit ribosomal RNA", at positions 338 to 916 of the family's 1533-position model. The record is from RNAcentral.
CCUACGGGAGGCAGCAGUGGGGAAUAUUGGACAAUGGGCGAAAGCCUGAUCCAGCAAUGCCGCGUGAGUGAUGAAGGCCUUAGGGUCGUAAAGCUCUUUUACCCGGGAUGAUAAUGACAGUACCGGGAGAAUAAGCUCCGGCUAACUCCGUGCCAGCAGCCGCGGUAAUACGGAGGGAGCUAGCGUUGUUCGGAAUUACUGGGCGUAAAGCGUACGUAGGCGGUUAUUCAAGUCAGAGGUGAAAGCCCGGGGCUCAACCCCGGAACUGCCUUUGAAACUAGAUAGCUAGAAUCUUGGAGAGGUCAGUGGAAUUCCGAGUGUAGAGGUGAAAUUCGUAGAUAUUCGGAAGAACACCAGUGGCGAAGGCGACUGACUGGACAAGCAUUGACGCUGAGGUACGAAAGCGUGGGGAGCAAACAGGAUUAGAUACCCUGGUAGUCCACGCCGUAAACGAUGAUAACUAGCUGUCCGGGUACUUGGUAUCUGGGUGGCGCAGCUAACGCAUUAAGUUAUCCGCCUGGGGAGUACGGUCGCAAGAUUAAAACCUUAAAGGAAUUGACGG